This 73-nucleotide transfer RNA is filed under the name Paramuricea clavata. It matches the Rfam family "tRNA". From Rfam's summary of the family: Transfer RNA (tRNA) molecules are approximately 80 nucleotides in length. Their secondary structure includes four short double-helical elements and three loops (D, anti-codon, and T loops). Lineage: Eukaryota; Metazoa; Cnidaria; Anthozoa; Malacalcyonacea; Plexauridae. The record is from Rfam by way of RNAcentral.
GCCCGGUUAGAUCAGUUGGUAGAGCAUCAGACUUUUAAUUUGAGGGCUAUGGGUUCGAGUCCCAUAUCGGGCU